UGAGGAAUAUUGGUCAAUGGGCGAGAGCCUGAACCAGCCAAGUAGCGUGCAGGAUGACGGCCCUAUGGGUUGUAAACUGCUUUUAUAAGGGAAUAAAGUUGUCUCGUGAGACUUUUUGCAUGUACCUUAUGAAUAAGGACCGGCUAAUUCCGUGCCAGCAGCCGCGGUAAUACGGAAGGUCCGGGCGUUAUCCGGAUUUAUUGGGUUUAAAGGGAGCGUAGGCCGGAGAUUAAGCGUGUUGUGAAAUGUAGGCGCUCAACGUCUGCACUGCAGCGCGAACUGGUUUCCUUGAGUACGCACAAAGUGGGCGGAAUUCGUGGUGUAGCGGUGAAAUGCUUAGAUAUCACGAAGAACUCCGAUUGCGAAGGCAGCUCA
This 375-nucleotide ribosomal RNA is filed under the name uncultured Prevotella sp. RNAcentral's name for it is "bacterial SSU rRNA". It matches the Rfam family "Bacterial small subunit ribosomal RNA", at positions 355 to 728 of the family's 1533-position model. The record is from RNAcentral. Lineage: Bacteria; Pseudomonadati; Bacteroidota; Bacteroidia; Bacteroidales; Prevotellaceae.